AAUUCGUAUGUAUAUAGUACAAUUAGCCAUGGAAGAAGGUAAAGAGAGGAAAUGAUAGAAUAGAAUUCAUGAUUUUACAUAGUAAUCUGAAGUUGAAAUUAAAGGGACAUUGCAGAAUCUUCAUCCUCAUCAAGGCUAGAAGUGUAAACAGUAUAAAGAGACCAAACCAAACCAAAGACUCCAAAAAGGAUCCAACCAAGAAGAUUAUUACUGAGCCCAAAUGGAAGCCCAGUUCCUUCUGUACUCAUUCUUUCAUCCACUAAAGCCAUUGCUGUUGGGCUGAAUGAUAGUGUUGCUGCCACUAAUGAUCCACAAAUUCCUGAUUUUGAAUCCUCUCUUUCCAUUGAACACUUCACCCUUCCCACAUUCUUCCUCAUUGAUGGCAACCCAAGAACAGAAGGGCGGGAUAGAGCUGAUGCCUUAUGUAGGAGGGCCUCACGGGCGGCUAAAGAGGUGGUGGUACAAGCAGUGAUGCUGGAAGCCAUUGGUGUUCGUUUUUUCAGUCAG
This 507-nucleotide unclassified non-coding RNA is filed under the name Hevea brasiliensis (rubber tree). Lineage: Eukaryota; Viridiplantae; Streptophyta; Magnoliopsida; Malpighiales; Euphorbiaceae. The record is from RNAcentral.